RNAcentral lists this ribosomal RNA (253 nucleotides) under uncultured bacterium. RNAcentral's name for it is "partial 16S ribosomal RNA". It matches the Rfam family "Bacterial small subunit ribosomal RNA", at positions 524 to 776 of the family's 1533-position model. The record is from RNAcentral.
UACGAAGGGGGCUAGCGUUGCUCGGAAUUACUGGGCGUAAAGCGCACGUAGGCGGCUUUCUAAGGCGGAGGUGAAAUCCUGGAGCUCAACUCCAGAACUGCCUUCGAUACUGGAAAGCUCGAGUCCGGGAGAGGUGAGUGGAACUGCGAGUGUAGAGGUGAAAUUCGUAGAUAUUCGCAAGAACACCAGUGGCGAAGGCGGCUCACUGGCCCGGUACUGACGCUGAGGUGCGAAAGCGUGGGGAGCAAACAGG